This 552-nucleotide ribosomal RNA is filed under the name uncultured bacterium. Its description in RNAcentral is "partial 16S rRNA". It matches the Rfam family "Bacterial small subunit ribosomal RNA", at positions 352 to 895 of the family's 1533-position model. The record is from RNAcentral.
UGGGGANNUNNUNNUNANNAUGGGCGCAAGCCUGAUCCAGCCAUGCCGCGUGUCUGAAGAAGGCCUUCGGGUUGUAAAGGACUUUUGUCAGGGAAGAAAAGGCUGUUGCUAAUAUCGACAGCUGAUGACGGUACCUGAAGAAUAAGCACCGGCUAACUACGUGCCAGCAGCCGCGGUAAUACGUAGGGUGCGAGCGUUAAUCGGAAUUACUGGGCGUAAAGCGAGCGCAGACGGUUACUUAAGCAGGAUGUGAAAUCCCCGGGCUCAACCUGGGAACUGCGUUCUGAACUGGGUGACUAGAGUGUGUCANAGGGAGGUAGAAUUCCACGUGUAGCAGUGAAAUGCGUAGAGAUGUGGAGGAAUACCGAUGGCGAAGGCNGCCUCCUGGGAUAACACUGACGUUCAUGCUCGAAAGCGUGGGUAGCAAACAGGAUUAGAUACCCUGGUAGUCCACGCCCUAAACGAUGUCAAUUAGCUGUUGGGCAACUUGAUUGCUUAGUAGCGUAGCUAACGCGUGAAAUUGANCCGCCUGGGGAGUACGGUCGCAAGAUU